RNAcentral lists this small RNA (145 nucleotides) under Propithecus coquereli (Coquerel's sifaka). RNAcentral's name for it is "Y RNA (ENSPCOG00000008194.1)". The record is from RNAcentral. Lineage: Eukaryota; Metazoa; Chordata; Mammalia; Primates; Indriidae.
GUUUAGUUUAAUGCCCUACAGUGUGUAAUAAUGUGUAUGUGCAUCAAUAAUUUUCUAAAAUUAGCCUUUUCACUAAUUGAUCACAGCCAGUUACAAAUUCCUUUGUUCCUUCUCCACUCCCACUGCUUCACUUGACCAGCCUUAA